AUGUCGGUGACGGGGACAUCCGUGGCGGCGGCGGCGACCAUGCUGGCCGCGGCGGCCGCCAUCUUCAUCACCUUCGUCGUCUGCUUCUACCUCUUCCUCUGCGCCAAGCGCUACCGGGGCGCCGCGCCCGCAAUCGGCGGCGGCGGCGGCGGCGGGGGAGCGGACGGCAGGGGCCGGGGGCCGCGGUUCGUCUUCGGGGGCCCCUGCCACGGGCGGGGCCUGGACGAGACGGCCAUCGUGGCGCUGCCGCGGAGGGAGGUCGCCCAGGGGGACCCCGCGGCCGACUGCGCCGUCUGCAUCACGGAGCUCGCCGCCGGGGAGGCCGCGCGCCUGCUGCCGCGGUGCGGCCACUCGUUCCACGUCGAGUGCGUCGACAUGUGGCUCCGGUCGCACUCCACCUGCCCGCUCUGCCGGUGCGCCGUCGCCGACGAGGCGCCCACCGUGCAGCCCCCCGAGGCCGAUCCGGAGUCGCCCAUCUUCCCCACCAAUGUGCUCUUCUUCGGCUCCCAGGACGCCGUGGCAACCGGCGGCACACCACGGCAGCCGGCGGCACCGCAGCCAUCCCAGGGACCGAUCGCCGGCGUCGCGGCCGUGGUCGAGGCGGCGAGAGUAGCGGCCCUCCGGCGGCUGCUCGGCUGCGGCGGCGGGACGCCCCCGCCACCACCACCGCCGCCGCCGCAGGCAGGCCGCGACCUGGAGAUGGGCCCCGCGCAGGCCGGCGGCGAGAGCAGCACGCCGCGGCCGGCGAAACCACAGCCAGGUUCUUGA
RNAcentral lists this ribosomal RNA (768 nucleotides) under Triticum aestivum (bread wheat). Its description in RNAcentral is "partial small subunit ribosomal RNA". Lineage: Eukaryota; Viridiplantae; Streptophyta; Magnoliopsida; Poales; Poaceae. The record is from RNAcentral.